RNAcentral lists this ribosomal RNA (431 nucleotides) under Klebsiella quasipneumoniae subsp. quasipneumoniae. Its description in RNAcentral is "bacterial SSU rRNA". It matches the Rfam family "Bacterial small subunit ribosomal RNA", at positions 25 to 454 of the family's 1533-position model. Lineage: Bacteria; Pseudomonadati; Pseudomonadota; Gammaproteobacteria; Enterobacterales; Enterobacteriaceae. The record is from RNAcentral.
CAGAUUGAACGCUGGCGGCAGGCCUAACACAUGCAAGUCGAGCGGUAGCACAGAGAGCUUGCUCUCGGGUGACGAGCGGCGGACGGGUGAGUAAUGUCUGGGAAACUGCCUGAUGGAGGGGGAUAACUACUGGAAACGGUAGCUAAUACCGCAUGAUGUCGCAAGACCAAAGUGGGGGACCUUCGGGCCUCAUGCCAUCAGAUGUGCCCAGAUGGGAUUAGCUAGUAGGUGGGGUAACGGCUCACCUAGGCGACGAUCCCUAGCUGGUCUGAGAGGAUGACCAGCCACACUGGAACUGAGACACGGUCCAGACUCCUACGGGAGGCAGCAGUGGGGAAUAUUGCACAAUGGGCGCAAGCCUGAUGCAGCCAUGCCGCGUGUGUGAAGAAGGCCUUCGGGUUGUAAAGCACUUUCAGCGGGGAGGAAGGCGA